GCUGAUGACAGCUCGACAGGGGCCGCACCAGUGCUGGUACACGUCGACUACUACGGUGCAGACAAAAAGAGGAGGAGGAGCGUUGCACUUCCAACGGUGACCACUCGGGGUCGCCAGAGUACAACAAAUUAAAGUUGGAACGGCUGACAGGUCCGUUCACGAUCCCCGACUAAUUUUGUUACGCACUUAGAAGACUCAAAUGGAAUAAAGUUAACGAUUCCUACCCGUUAAUCCCUUUGUUGCAAGAACCUCCUCCCACUGCUCUUGAUUAGUGGCGGAAACCUGCGGUGGAAAAAGGCGAAAAGAAGAAGAAUGAAGACUAUCCGGGACCAGUAUUAACCACCAAUCAUGGCUCCAAAGAAGACACACUCACAGAGGCCCGGCGCUGACCUUGGGCUUCAGGAGCUUUGCCGAAACUCUUUUGGAACAUCCAUCUCUGGAAAAUGGAAAAAUGUCCAUCCAUCAUUUGCCAAAAACUCUCAGACUGCUGGGACGAUUGAGAAGUGACGCAGAAAUAGCAACGUUUCCACU
Molecule: long non-coding RNA, 531 nt
Organism: Syngnathoides biaculeatus (alligator pipefish)
Lineage: Eukaryota; Metazoa; Chordata; Actinopteri; Syngnathiformes; Syngnathidae
Exons: 3
Source: RefSeq, a predicted model, not a curated record